RNAcentral lists this small RNA (898 nucleotides) under Pongo abelii (Sumatran orangutan). RNAcentral's name for it is "retained intron". The record is from RNAcentral. Lineage: Eukaryota; Metazoa; Chordata; Mammalia; Primates; Hominidae.
GGGGAAGGUGGGGAUAGGGAUGGAGACCGGAACCCGGAGGCCUCCUGUGCUGGGCACCCUCCCUGGGGAGGCUGGGGAGACCAGACCUGCUGAAGUGGGGCAUCUGAAGGAAAACUGGCCACAGGCUGGGGAAAGUGGGGUGGAGCGUGAAGCAGUCAGCAUGGACAGUGGGGUGUGGGGUGAAUAGGAGCCUCUGCACCUCUAAAGGGAAGUGAGUAAAGGGGGCACAGUGCCCAUGGGACAUUUCAAGGAAAAGGACUGAGGCUGCAGCAUGGAAGGGCUUAGUUAGACAAGAAGAAGCACUUCCAACAUGAAAGGCCUGCAGCAGGCUACCAGGCAUCUGGAGAUUGUUAGGGGAAGAGUCCCUGAGAGCUGGAGGCUGGGACCCCCUCAACCAGACCCCAGACUGCCCUACUCAACGGGGGUCCCAAAUGCCCACUGCAACUAGGUACAGGGUCUGUGUGUGGUUGUGGGGGAUUGGCAUUGGGAGACAUGGGAGGCAAAGAGCUGGGCGUGGCCAGGCCAGGCCUCUGGCUUCCAAGAACUCCUAAUUCCAGGGGACACCCAGUGGGGGAAUAGCUGGCUGCUGGGAGGUCCACAGCCUAGGGCUGGUUGGCCAAGCAGCCAACUCUGGUCCCUGCUCACCAGUGCCCUAUGGCUUCUAAUGCAUUUCUCCUCUUCCUCCCUUGCUGCACCUGCAGAUGCAGAAGCCAGCUACCAGCCUCCUCAAAACCCCUACUACUACGUGGAUGGGGACCCCCACUUCAUCAUCCAAGUUCCGGAGAAAGACGAUGCCCUCUGCUUCAACAUCGAUGAAGCCCCAGGCACAGUGCUGCGCCUUAUUCAGGACCCAGUCACAGGCCUCACAGUGAACGGGCAGAUCAUCGGCGACAAGAGA